CGCAGUAUAGCUCUACCGCUGUUGCUAAUCAAGAAAUCGUUUCUGAUUUCAAAUCCGGAGAAGCUGGGAGCCGUGGUAGCAAUUUCAGUUGAUAGCGAUGCCGCACCGAAGGAUCCGGUUCGGGCCGAGCAGGGUCGGUCUGAAAAUAAAGACGUAGCGUUGCCGAUCCUGAGCUGCAGGUUUCGGAAGGAGGCUGGACGCUAGCCACUAUGAAGUUGCGUACUCAAGGCAACGCAGUCCAGGAUACAGAGGCGAGCUUGCACCGGUGGACGUCUGCGGAGUUUCGUCGAUGGACUUGGCCAGACGUCG
Molecule: long non-coding RNA, 309 nt
Organism: Odontomachus brunneus
Lineage: Eukaryota; Metazoa; Arthropoda; Insecta; Hymenoptera; Formicidae
Exons: 3
Source: RefSeq, a predicted model, not a curated record